RNAcentral lists this ribosomal RNA (301 nucleotides) under uncultured bacterium. Its description in RNAcentral is "partial 16S ribosomal RNA". It matches the Rfam family "Bacterial small subunit ribosomal RNA", at positions 509 to 807 of the family's 1533-position model. The record is from RNAcentral.
CAGCCGCCGCGGGAAAACGUAGGUGGCAAGCGUUGUCCGGAAUUAUUGGGCGUAAAGGGCUCGCAGGCGGUUUCUUAAGUCUGAUGUGAAAGCCCCCGGCUCAACCGGGGAGGGUCAUUGGAAACUGGGAAACUUGAGUGCAGAAGAGGAGAGUGGAAUUCCACGUGUAGCGGUGAAAUGCGUAGAGAUGUGGAGGAACACCAGUGGCGAAGGCGACUCUCUGGUCUGUAACUGACGCUGAGGAGCGAAAGCGUGGGGAGCGAACAGGAUUAGAUACCCGGGUAGUCCCUGUCUCUUAUAC